RNAcentral lists this ribosomal RNA (253 nucleotides) under uncultured bacterium. Its description in RNAcentral is "partial 16S ribosomal RNA". It matches the Rfam family "Bacterial small subunit ribosomal RNA", at positions 524 to 776 of the family's 1533-position model. The record is from RNAcentral.
UACGUAGGGUGCAAGCGUUACUCGGAAUUACUGGGCGUAAAGCGUGCGUAGGUGGUGAGUUAAGUCUGUCGUGAAAGCCCCGGGCUCAACCUGGGAAUGGCGAUGGAUACUGGCUCGCUAGAGUGCGGUAGAGGAGAGUGGAAUUCCCGGUGUAGCAGUGAAAUGCGCAGAUAUCAGGAGGAACACCAGCGGCGAAGGCGGCGCUCUGGGCCGGUACUGACACUGAGGAGCGAAAGCGUGGGUAGCAAACAGG